Molecule: long non-coding RNA, 142 nt
Organism: Phyllostomus discolor (pale spear-nosed bat)
Lineage: Eukaryota; Metazoa; Chordata; Mammalia; Chiroptera; Phyllostomidae
Exons: 3
Source: RefSeq, a predicted model, not a curated record
GAAAAUAGUCUAAGAAUAAAAGGGCACUAAACACGUAUCCAUCAAUAAUCACCUUAAAUGUAAAUGACUUAAAUGCUCCAAACAAAAGACAUAAGGCAGCUGAAUGGAUAAGAAAACAAGACCCAUCCAAGUUCGAUUCCCA